RNAcentral lists this ribosomal RNA (619 nucleotides) under uncultured bacterium. RNAcentral describes it as "bacterial SSU rRNA". It matches the Rfam family "Bacterial small subunit ribosomal RNA", at positions 335 to 968 of the family's 1533-position model. The record is from RNAcentral.
ACUCCUACGGGAGGCUGCAGUGGGGAAUUUUCCGCAAUGGGCGCAAGCCUGACGGAGCAAGACCGCGUGAGGGAGGAAGGCUCUUGGGUUGUAAACCUCUUUUAUCAGGGAAGAAGAUCUGACGGUACCUGAUGAAUCAGCAUCGGCUAACUCCGUGCCAGCAGCCGCGGUAAUACGGAGGAUGCAAGCGUUAUCCGGAUUUAUUGGGCGUAAAGCGUCCGCAGGUGGUUUUUCAAGUCUGCUGUUAAAGCGCAGAGCUUAACUCUGUAACGGCGGUGGAAACUGAGAGACUAGAGUAUGGUAGGGGUUGCGGGAAUUCCCAGUGUAGCGGUGAAAUGCGUAGAUAUUGGGAAGAACACCAGCGGCGAAAGCGCGCAACUGGGCCAUUACUGACACUCAUGGACGAAAGCUAGGGGAGCGAAAGGGAUUAGAUACCCCUGUAGUCCUAGCUGUAAACGAUGGGUACUAGGUGUUGACCGUAUCGACCCGGUCAGUGCUGUAGCUAACGCGUUAAGUACCCCGCCUGGGGAGUAUGCACGCAAGUGUGAAACUCAAAGGAAUUGACGGGGGCCCGCACAAGCGGUGGAGUAUGUGGUUUAAUUCGAUGCAACGCGAAGAA